Cricetulus griseus (Chinese hamster) is the source of this 2873-nucleotide non-coding RNA. NCBI's taxonomy places the organism in Eukaryota, Metazoa, Chordata, Mammalia, Rodentia, Cricetidae. The record is from RefSeq and is a predicted model, not a curated record.
GGCGGGUGUAAAGCUCACACGUGGCAGUGGGGCUCAGGUGGCUUUUGGCGGAAAGAUUUAUGGUAACAGAAGGGGCUAUUUGGGAGGAAGGACAGAGAAGUGGGAGGAAGACAGAGAAGGCAAAAGGGAAUAUGAUCAAAGAACAUUGUGUGCAGAUACAAAUGUCAUGGCAGGGCCCAUUAUUUUGUACAAUAUUUGUUAUUAAUUUCUUUAAAGAUUUUUAGCCCUAAAGUUUUGGCAGUAAAUUUGGUCUAGGAAAUGUACUUGCCUCGAUAGACAGGUUCUCUGCCACUGAGCUGACUUGCCAGACAGUGCUUUAUUUUAUGGUUGGGAAAUCUAUUGUCCACUGGAUGCAUUUAACUGGGAGUCUUCGUCUUCGUCGGAUUAACCCAACACUAAAGGUUCAUUACUCCUAAGCAGCCACGUGGGGAUUCCCAGGCACAUUUAGGUCUUUCAUGCAUCAGGAAAGAAAGUCAUGAAAUAGGAGAGUCAUAAAAUUUAGGGGGCGGAAGCUUGUUCUGGCGCAACAUGGAUCUUCAUGGCAGGAUGUGACAUGUGAGUGAGGCUACAACCUUGUCUACCAGAUUAGACUGCUGGAAGUAAGGACAUGUUUGGAGAAAUAGCUUUGUCCACUUCUCUAACAUAAAAAAAGUCUAGAAAAUCCAAAGAAGGCUUGCUUCUCACAGUAUGGCAAUAUUCUUGGGGCCUUUGCUGAGGGAACAAGAGAGGAAAGAGAUUUAUUAAUUUAGGUCAAUUAUAACUCAGAAUAAAUAAUCUUCUGUCUUCUUCCAGCAAGCCCCCAGAACCCAGCUUUUCUUGACUUUCCCAGUAUGCUUUCUGGCUCAGAUUUUGUGUCCCCAACAUUUGGGGAACACAGAGCCUUUUGCAUUAGUUACCUGGGGAUUUGGGGUCUAGUCAAGGUUUGUCUCUAACACACCUGGAGAUCUUGGGAGAUGAGGGUUCGUUUUAACUGGGAGGUGUCAACCUUUGCCUCAGCCUUUACAUUAUCUCAUCUACAAACCCCCAGCAGCCUGUCUCAUCAGACUUAGGGAUUGUCAGUAGACAUGGCCACCUCUUCGCAUUCCUGAUUCUCAGUGAGAAUCUCUGAACCGGAUGAUCAGAAUGUAUUUUGUAUUCCCACCCCACUCCUAAGUUUUAGGAUUCUACAUUUAAAUAGAAGCCUUGAAAAAUAGACAGAUGUAGUUAUCCUUGUAUACAACUUUUUUCUUUUUCAAGACAGGGUUUCUCUGUGGCUUUGGAGGCUGUCCUGGAACUAGAUCUUGUAGACCAGGCUGGUCUCCAACUCACAGAGAUCCGCCUGCUUCUGCCCCCCAAGUGCUGGGAUUAAAGGCCUGCGCCACCACUGCCAGCUAUAAUUUAAUAUCCAGAAAGACAUAAAAGAAGAUGCGAACUGUAGUUUUCUCUGGAGAGAGAAUAUAGGAACCUGAUGAUGAAGACAAUUAUAGCGCUGGUUUUGUUGUUCAUUUUUGUGCUACUGGCGAUUGAGCCCAGGACUUUGCACAUGCUAGGCAAGUACUCUACCACUGAGAUAUAUUGCUAAUUCUUCACUAUUUAACACAGAGUUUCGCUAUAUGGCCCAAGCUAGAGUGGACUUUUGAUCUGCUUGCCUCCGAUUCCCAAGAGCUGAGAGUAUAGAUGCUGGAUGGAGCCUACGUAUGCUUUUUCUGGAUGGAUUUGCUAGCACUGAAGACAGAUGCAGGUUCAGUUACAACAGCAUCAGCAUCAUCAGCAUCAUCAGCAUCAGCAUCAUCACCAUCAUCACCAUCAUCACCAUCAGCAGCAGCAGCGGCAGCAGUGGCAGCAAUGUUUUAGAGAUGUUGGCUAUCUUGUCAUUUUACAUUCUCCUUCAAUCUGCUGAAGUCAUACCUAAGUCAUGGACUCCUAUAAGUGAACAAGGUGACUACAUUUCCAAGCCCAGUGGCAGUAAGAAGUCCCAGCACCACUCCUUGCAACACAUCUUCCCAGAGUUAAGUAGACUGAUAGAUGGUGAUGACUACAUGGCAUGUUUGCAGCCCUUGGAAUUUAUGACUUGUUUUAUUAGCUCUUCUUUAGAACCUCCCAUAAGGAUGGCCAGUAACACUGUGAUGAAAUUAAGGUCUCAGUGACAACAUGAGUGUGACAACUCAUUGCUUCCAUGGAUGAGGUUGGGUGGUUUUUAACAUUAAUAAUGAAGAGACUAUGACUACUCCAGGUACCAAGUCAAUGGAAGUGACUAGUGUCGAUGAUCUUUGAAGACUUCUUCAUUAAGCAAAUAAUUUCCCGAGGUACUUUUUCCUCUGACUGCUGCACAUUUCGUCCCAGAUAUCUUAAUCUUCUCAAAAGGUAAGACAGGAAGUCUGAGACCUCGAGAAUGGAAGAGUCUUGCUCUAAGUCACUAAGUGAGUUGACUGCAAGACCUAGACCACAGCCCUUGGCACAAAGGAGGUGCUCGAUAAAUAGUGAAUGAAUUCAAACAUACAUUUCUCUCCUUAUCAUGCUCUACAAGAUACAAUAUUCCUAACAUGGACUCUCCUCUUCUGAGUUGAAGUGGCAUCCUUGUCCACUGUGAUAGAUGCAAACCGUAUGUGGUUACAAAGCAUUCACAAUGUGGUUGGUCCAUACUGACAUGAGUUGUAAAUCAAUCUCAAUAUAUUUUUAAUAGGUUCCCUUGAUGAGGACCAGGCUGUACUCAGAAUUGUAAUCCUUCUGUCCCAGUAUGUUUGAUUUGCUAGGACUAGCCUUUAAUCUGAAAAUUGAACACUUGCUAUGACAAAAUGGAAAGUAUCUCAAUAAUCUUCAUAAUGAUCGCACAGUAAAAUGACAAUAGUUUUUGUAUACUGGAUUAAAUAAAAAUAUAACAUCAUGAAAAUUAA